Bombyx mori (domestic silkworm) is the source of this 3271-nucleotide long non-coding RNA. RefSeq lists it as uncharacterized. NCBI's taxonomy places the organism in Eukaryota, Metazoa, Arthropoda, Insecta, Lepidoptera, Bombycidae. The transcript has 2 exons. The record is from RefSeq and is a predicted model, not a curated record.
AAAUCAAGCAGAGGACAGCAGCCGGCGCCGGGGUGACUCCUCCGCGGGCAUCAAGCCGUCGCUUAAGAUCAAGCCCAUCGUAUUAUGUUUAUGUAUAUAUUUUUGUCGAUGUGGAGUGCGCCGAACGCGCAUACGAACAGCCCCCCUAAUCCCGUCUUGCAACACUUCACCCCUGCCCUGUGUGGCAGGGAGCUUCGUUCCGGGCAGUGGGGUUUGCCCCGAGGCCCGUUCCGUGCCCCCGAAAGGGGGUACGACGACCCUUCUUCUUCUUCUUCUUGUGGUACCUGUUUCUCAUACCAUGUUCAACAACAGGCACUGGGUAUUCCAACAAGAUUCGGCGCCAGUUCAUAGAGCGAAGAGCACACAAGACUGGCUGGCGGCGCGUGAAAUCGACUUCAUCCGGCACGAAGACUGGACCUCCUCCAGUCCAGAUUUGAAUCCGUUAGAUUACAAGAUAUAGCAACACUUGGAGGAAAAGGCGUGCUCAAAGCCUCAUCCCAAUUUGGAGUCACUCAAGACAUCCUUGAUUAAGGCAGCCGCCGAUAUUGACAUGGACCUCGUUCGUGCUGCGAUAGACGACUGGCCGCGCAGAUUGAAGGCCUGUAUUAAAAAUCACGGAGGUCAUUUUGAAUAAACUUUAGUGUCAUAAGAAUUUAUGUUUUAUUAAGUUCAUUUUGGUAUAUGAAUGGUUACAUAAUGAAUAAACUUGUUUCAAUUAUUUUACAUUAAACAUGUGACAGAAUUUAUGACCUGACUAUGUAGAUUGUUCAACUCAUUGUCAACAUACUCGCGUGACGUAUAAAUUUGUUUACUUCUUGUCUGGAAGUUAAUUAUUUAUAUAUUAUGAUGUUAAUCAUAAAUAUGUAUAUUAGUAUAAUUUAUACUGUUUUUACAGCUUAAUAUAGUGUUUUUUUAUUGUCAUCACGACAACUUUAUUCGAAAAGUCAGAAAUAAUAUUGAUCUUGAGUUAUGAAAUUGCCGUGUUUAUAAUUUUGGUAUUAAUACAGAAACAUGUUUUCCGAAGUUCGGUCUAUUAUUUCUUAGUUUGCAGUAUUCAUUUUUUUCCCUACCUAUGCUGAUAGCCUUGAGGCUAUUUCAGCUGCUCCUUGACGUGUAGCUACCCGAACGCCUCCGAAGGAGACCUAACAGCUCAAGAGUAGCUGCUUCGCGAAUGAAUCUACUACUGGAUCUGAAUCGCGACCCGCUGAGAAGAUCCGGCGAGAAACUCAGCGAGCUGAUUCAUGGGUUAGGUUGCACGGCGAACUCUUUGUCGAGUUCGACGAGUACGGUUACCGAGGUCCCUAAGCCGGCUCCUAGUGUUAGAGCUGAAGGCGUCUAAUGCAAAGGUUAUUGGAUCUGAUGGAUCCGUAAGGACGUGUCUAGGGCGUCGACGGUGACUGGCUCCUGCAUGAUCAGGAUUCGGGGAGUAGUCAGCGGCGGCAACGAUAAGGCGAUUAUCAUGACGCAUAGCCUUAUCGAAGUACCGUUCCGACGCGGACUUCAUGUAUUUCCGAAUUGAUUCGAGGCCCAGGUCAUCGUGUAGGUCAACGUUCCUCACGAACCACGGAGCUCCGACGGCUAACCUGCAAAAGCGGGAUUGUAGAGGUUGGAGGGUGUCUAUGUGUGUGCGGGCCGCGUGAGCGAACACCACACUCGCGUAAGUCAUGACGGGCCUUAUGCAAGUUUUGUAAAGUGUCACCUUGUUCCGAAGGGACAUUUUACUCCGCUUACAGAUCAUGGGGUAGAGUCUACCGAGAAUAAACGCGGCACGGUCACGGACUGAUUUUAUAUGCGGGCGGAAUGUCAUCGAUGCAUCCAGGGUAACGCCCAGGUACUUGACCUUCCUGGCCCAGGGUAUGGGUUGUCUAAAGAGAGUAAUCGGGGGUGUGAGAUUGCUCCUCCUAAUCCGGGAGGAAAUCCGUGUGGAGCUUCCCCUCUGAAAUAGCACCGCAGUACUUUUCGCUGGGUUGAUGUCUAUGCGCCAUUUUCGGGACCACUGUCCUAGGGCUAGGGCUGCGCUCUGAAGCUUCUUCGCGAUUAGGGACUUGUUUCUACUGGAAUAGUAAACAGUCGUGUCGUCGGCGAAUAAAGCUAAAUGGGUCGGCGUAAUGACGUGUGUAAACCUGUGUGUAGUAUAGACUUGUGACGAUGUCGACUGUUUACUAUUCGGUCCACAGGAUCGGGUAUGCAGUAUUCAUAUUGGUAUUAGUAAGCGACAUGACAUAUGCUACGUCAAUAUUAACAAUAUGAUAGCUACUCUUGCGUGUUCAAAAUGGCGUCUUAGCAUGAUCUUAAUUAAGAAACAUUUAGUUUUUGUAUGAACAUUUAAGUUAGUUAAUUUCAUGACAAUUUUACAGAAAAAAUAUAAAAAAAUAAUAAUAUCCAGACUUCAAUAAUAAAUUUAAUAAAUGCAACUUAGUAAACACCAGUACAAGAUUGAACUUUUAAUAUAUUUCUUAUAGAAAUAACAAGGUAUAUAAUUUUAAUAAAACCAAGCAAAUGUAAUAAAAGAUUAACUGAAAAAUAUCCAUUCUAAAUAUUAAAAAUGUAAAGGAGAGUUUAUUUAAUACGCUUUUACACUAUAAUAUACUAAAUUUUGAAAACAUAGUUUCAGGAGUACAAAGUGGAUAUAUUAUUAUAGUAUUUGCAAAAUUUAAUAUAGAAAAAACUCUUUUAUCAUUCACAUGUUUAAAAGCAAAUAAAACAACAAUUAAAAUAUCCAGACUAGUAUUAAUAUACUAGAAUGGAUUACGAUUAAAACAACAAUAAUUUUAGUUGGAAUUUGUUUUAAAUUAACAACGUCUAUUUACACGGAGUUUCAACGAAAAUAAAUGUAAUUUCCUCCAGCUCUCUCGAUCUGUUUGCACACAACAGAUACAAAUCUGUUCAGUACGAAACGGGACCAAAGCAAUCAAAUUUUAAGAAAUCCCAACAAAUCACCUAUUUGGUUUACGAAACUUAAGCCUCAUUGGAACUAUUUUGAGUCGGCGAAGCGGUGUUAAUCUUCUUGGUUGAAUCGAAUCAUCCAUUCAAGAUACAGUGUCUUGUAAAUUGUUUUUAUAAUUGAUCUGCAAUAGACUGGUGGUAGGACCUCUUGUGAGUCCGCGCGGGUGGGUACCACCACCCUGCCUAUUUCUGCCGUGAAGCAGUGAUGCGUUUCGGUUUGAAGGGUAAGGUAACCGUUGUAACUAUACUUGAGACCUUAGAACUUAUAUCUUAAGAUGGGUGGCGCAUUUGCGUUGUGGAUGUCUAUGGGCUCCAGUAACCACUU